ACUGCCUGAUGGCGGGGGAGUAACUACUGGAAACGGUAGCUAAUACCGCAUAAUGUCUGCGGACCAAAGCGGGGGACCUCCGGGCCUCGCGCCAUCAGAUGAACCCAUAUGGGAUUAGCUUGUAGGUAAGGUAACGGCUUACCUAGGCGACGAUCCCUAGCUGGUCUGAGAGGAUGAUCAGCCACACUGGGACUGAGACACGGCCCAG
This 208-nucleotide ribosomal RNA is filed under the name uncultured bacterium. RNAcentral's name for it is "partial 16S ribosomal RNA". It matches the Rfam family "Bacterial small subunit ribosomal RNA", at positions 125 to 334 of the family's 1533-position model. The record is from RNAcentral.